This 434-nucleotide ribosomal RNA is filed under the name uncultured bacterium. RNAcentral describes it as "partial 16S ribosomal RNA". It matches the Rfam family "Bacterial small subunit ribosomal RNA", at positions 29 to 506 of the family's 1533-position model. The record is from RNAcentral.
AACGAACGCUGGCGGCAUGCCUAACACAUGCAAGUCGAACGAUUGCCUUCGGGUGAUAGUGGCGCACGGGUGCGUAACGCGUGGGAAUCUGCCCUUAGGUUCGGAAUAACAGCUGGAAACGGCUGCUAAUACCGGAUGAUAUCGCGAGAUCAAAGAUUUAUCGCCUGAGGAUGAGCCCGCGUUGGAUUAGGUAGUUGGUGGGGUAAAGGCCUACCAAGCCGACGAUCCAUAGCUGGUCUGAGAGGAUGAUCAGCCACACUGGGACUGAGACACGGCCCAGCCCCCUCGGGGGGGAGGGAGGGGGGAAUAUUGAAAAAGGGGCGAAAGCUUAACCCAGAAAUGCCGGGGGAGUGAUGAGGGCCUUGGGGUUGAAAAGCUCUUUUCCCCGGAAAGAUAAGGCCGUUCCGGGGAGAAAAACCCCCGCCUACCCCCGU